This 459-nucleotide ribosomal RNA is filed under the name uncultured bacterium. Its description in RNAcentral is "partial 16S ribosomal RNA". It matches the Rfam family "Bacterial small subunit ribosomal RNA", at positions 338 to 795 of the family's 1533-position model. The record is from RNAcentral.
CCUACGGGAGGCAGCAGUGAGGAAUAUUGGUCAAUGGCCGGAAGGCUGAACCAGCCAAGCCGCGUGAAGGACGAAGGUGCCAAGCAUUGUAAACUUCUUUUGUCAAGGGACAAAAUCAGGCUCGAGAGCCUGACCGAGGGUACUUGAAGAAAAAGCAUCGGCAAACCCCGUGCCAGCAGCCGCGGUAAUACGGAGGAUGCGAGCGUUAUCCGGAUUUAUUGGGUUUAAAGGGUGCGUAGGCGGGCUGUUAAGUCAGCGGUAAAAGCCCGGGGCUCAACCCCGGCGAGCCGUUGAAACUGGCUGUCUUGAGAUGUCGAGAGGUAUGCGGAAUGCGCAGUGUAGCGGUGAAAUGCUUAGAUAUUGCGCAGAACUCCGAUUGCGAAGGCAGCAUGCCGGCGGCGAUCUGACGCUGAGGCACGAAAGCAUGGGUAUCGAACAGGAUUAGAUACCCUAGUAGUC